GACGAACGCUGGCGGCGUGCCUAAUACAUGCAAGUCGAACGCAGUGGGGACGGGUGAGUAACACGUGGGUAACCUCCCAUCAGAGGGGAUAACACUUGGAAACAGGUGCUAAACCGAUACUGAUGGAUGGACCCGCGGUGCAUUAGCUAGUUGGGGAGGUAACGGCUCAACAAGGCCACGAUGCAUAGCCGACCUGAAAGGGGGAUCGGCCAAACUGGGAUCGAGAAACGGCCAAGACUCCAACGGGAGGCAGCAGUGGGGAAUAUUCGGCAAUGGACGAAAGUCUGACCGAGCAACGCCGCGUGAGUGAAGAAGGUUUUCGGAUCGUAAAACUCUGUUGUUAGAGAAGCGGUAUCUAACCAGAAAGCCACGGCUAACUACGUGCCAGCAGCCGCGGUAAUUC
RNAcentral lists this ribosomal RNA (403 nucleotides) under uncultured bacterium. RNAcentral's name for it is "partial 16S ribosomal RNA". It matches the Rfam family "Bacterial small subunit ribosomal RNA", at positions 28 to 526 of the family's 1533-position model. The record is from RNAcentral.